CAGCAGCCGCGGUAAUACGGAGGGCGCGAGCGUUGUCCGGAUUCACUGGGCGUAAAGCGGGUGUAGGCGGUCGGGUAAGUCGGACGUGAAAGCCCGGGGCUCAACCCCGGAAGGGCGUCCGAAACUGCUCGACUUGAGGGCGGGAGAGGGAGGUGGUAUUCCCGGAGUAGGGGUGAAAUCCUAUAAUCCCGGGAGGACCACCUGUGGCGAAGGCGCUCGGCUGGAACGCGUCCGACGGUGAGGGACGAAGGCCAGGGGAGCAAACCGGAUUAGAUACCCGGGUAGUCCUGGCUGUAAACGGUGGGCACUAGGUGUGGGGGGUUAAUCCCUCCGUGCCGAAGCUAACGCAUUAAGUGCCCCGCCUGGGGAGUACGGCCGCAAGGUUGAAACUUAAAGGAAUUGGCGGG
This 407-nucleotide ribosomal RNA is filed under the name uncultured microorganism. RNAcentral describes it as "bacterial SSU rRNA". It matches the Rfam family "Bacterial small subunit ribosomal RNA", at positions 509 to 917 of the family's 1533-position model. The record is from RNAcentral.